This 257-nucleotide ribosomal RNA is filed under the name uncultured bacterium. RNAcentral's name for it is "partial small subunit ribosomal RNA". It matches the Rfam family "Bacterial small subunit ribosomal RNA", at positions 26 to 285 of the family's 1533-position model. The record is from RNAcentral.
AGGACGAACGCUGGCGGCGUGCUUAACACAUGCAAGUCGAGCGGUGACGCACCUUCGGGUGCUGAUCAGCGGCGAACGGGUGAGUAACACGUGGGCAACCUGCCCCUAACACUGGGAUAACCUCGGGAAACCGGGGCUAAUACCGGAUAUGACCUCAAGCGGCAUCUCUUGAGGUGGAAAGCUCCGACGGUGAGGGAUGGGCCCGCGGCCUAUCAGCUUGUUGGUGGGGUAAUGGCCUACCAAGGCGACGACGGGUA